ACUUAAUUAGUUUAUUUAAAAAUUAUAAAUUGUGGAUUUAUAGAAGAUAGAAAUUCAUUAAGUA
Molecule: transfer RNA, 64 nt
Filed under: Ixodes ovatus
Lineage: Eukaryota; Metazoa; Arthropoda; Arachnida; Ixodida; Ixodidae
Description: tRNA-His
Source: RNAcentral